This is a non-coding RNA of Malus domestica (apple), 5107 nucleotides long. NCBI's taxonomy places the organism in Eukaryota, Viridiplantae, Streptophyta, Magnoliopsida, Rosales, Rosaceae. The record is from RefSeq and is a predicted model, not a curated record.
CUUCUUCCCCCCCCCCCCCUGGCGCGAUCACAGCCAUCCACCUGGUAUUUUCUGGAGCCUUCUAGCAAAACGGGACAAUUUUACCAUUUUACCCUUAACCUUUGCUCGUUUAUAUUUCAUUCGUUAUAGCUCCAAAUUGCAAUCCGUUUGCAGUCACGCGUUCGUAUCGACACUUACUAUCCAAAUAUGUAAAGAAAUCAGGAAAAUUAUGAAAGAAUCAAAUAUGUCCGUGAAAAUUUUGUUUAAUUCAAUAGGGGCGAUUUCAUCAUUUUACUUAAAUAAAUGCACCGCAAAUAUAAACACGUCGAAUUAAUAAUACGAAAUACGUAAUUUUAAAUAGUGAAAUCCGUGGAGGGGAUUUCACAAUCAAUGUGCAUUACUGUCACAAAAUUGCUUGAGAAAAGGAAUUUCAUGGCUCUGGUUACAUUUUCUCACCAUCUUCUCUAAUUGACUGGAACAAAACGAUGGAGAGAUAUCGUUCACCAAAGCUUGGAAAGACCCCCUGGAAGCAGUCAAAUUCUGAACUACUUUAAUACACAAAGAAUCGAAAGCAAUAUAGUUUUACGUGCACGCAGAUAAGACAAACAAACAGACAAAAAAAGUAGUGAAGUGUGACCAACCAGGAUUACCAGUCCAUCUUUAUAUCAUGCCUCUCUAUACCAAAACACAAUUCCAUAAGUAAAUCACAGUCAUGAUUUUACCUUGACUACAUAGUGUUAGGACUUGGCUCAUCAAAUUUAGUGUCCUAUUUUAUUUAGGAUUGUAUUAGGGAAAGUAUAGGUGCACCGAUUCUUUUCCUAAAACAACUAGGAAAGAAUCAAAAGUAGUUUCAACUCCUUUGAUGGCUCACAAAAGAGAAACAAUUGAUAAAGAAGGUGCUCUAUGCUAAUGUCUUGGGCUGCUGUAUGCAAUAGCAUGCGCACGACCCAACCUAGUUCAAGCACUCAACAUCAUUUCCAAGUACAUGGCAAAUAUAGGAAAGCAACAUUGGGAUGCAGUCAAGUGGAUUUUGCAUUACUUGAAAGGUUCUUGGUGAUAAGGGAUCAUGUUUGAAAAGCAAAAAAAAAAAAAAAAAAAAAAAAAAAGCAAGAUGUUGGGAAAUGUGGAUGUCGAUUAUGCAGGGGACUUGGACAAAAGAAGGUCAACUUUUGGUUAUGCCUUUACAUGUGCAAAAGGACUAAUUAGUUGGAGGGCACUACCACAACCAAUUACAGCUCUGUCCACCACAAAGGCAGAGUACAUUGCUUUGGUCGAAGCUAGAAAUAAAGUAAUUGUUGGUGUAAAAGGCUGGCUCGAUACAAUCCAAUAUGUGUGUGGAGAGAGUCCAACAUUAGAGAAGUACAACAAUAAUCUAAGAUUUAAAUAUACGUGUCAACUUCUAAUUGCACCAAGGUCUUUCAACAUAAAAUCUCACACCUUAGGUCCAUUGGGCUAGAUACCACCCUGGGGAUUGAGCCUAGGUGUUUAAGUAGGGACAAUAUUGGUGCAUGGCAGUUGUAGUAGUUGACACUUAUGGAGCUCGUGACACAACAUUUAGUAUCAAGUCCUUGGUUUAAAGUGUUCUACGAUGUCAAAAGGAAAGGCGACCGUGGACCUAAGGCUUGCGCUAAAACCUUUUGAUGGCAAUGAUAACUUCAUUGAUUGGCAAACAAUGAUGAAUAAUAUACUGAUAAACUAAGAUUUGGAUGAUGCACUCAUUGGUGAGAAGCCUACGACCAUGACAUCAGAGGCAUGCACCAAGGUUCUCAAGAAGGCCAGGAACACCAUCAAAACCCAUCUCACAAGAUCAGUCAGGUCCCAUAUCAUAGAAAAGACAAUCGUUAAGGAAACAUGGGACAAGUUGAAGCAUGUUUAUAGGGGCAAAAUUGUGUCCAACAAACUUUUUCUCAAAGAUGAAUUAUUCAGGCUUCAACUAAAAGAAGAAGGUAUACUGAAGAUCACAUAUGUAGGUUCUAGAAUUGCAUAGCCAAUCAUUAGAAGGUCGAAGAAACUUACAAAGACGAUGAUAUGGCUACCAUCUUGUUGAGGUCUCUACCUUCAACUUUCAAGCUCUUUCGAACAACUCUAAUGUUUGGAAAGGAGUCCUUGAAGCUCAAAGACAUAAGUCAAGCCCUUCAGUCAUAUGCUAAACUGGAUGAUAUAACUGAGAGCUCUCAAAGCCUUUAUGCCAAAGAUAAGGAUAAUGAACAGGAAAAGACAAAGGAAGAUAAGAGCAGCAACAUGGGUAGGUCGGAAUCCAAUAAGUAAAAGGAAGGGAAAAUAGGUCCCAUUUUUGGUGACUUUUGACUUUUGAAAUAGGUCUGAUUUUUAGUUACUUUGGAUACAUAUCAAAAGACCCCAAGAAGGAAACGAAGGAAGGUUGCUUCGGUGUGGUUAUGCCAACUCAAAUUUUAAAGAAAGGAAUUGAUAUUUCUUAUACCUUUGUUGAAUCAUCUUUGCAUAAGCAAAGACUAAUCACCCUUGAGAGAGGGCCUUCAUUCCUAGCUUCUUUGCUCCAUGAAUUUCUUGGAAGAGGAUUGAAGAAUGGAUUCUCCAAGUUCCCAAGAGAGGGAACCUCUAAGUGUCGACACCAAGGAUGAUGAAGAAAGAAGAUGAGUGCCAUUGGAAGAGUUUGAAGCUAUUGAAACUCCCUCAAUGUGGGAGGCCUCUCCUAAAAAGCAUAAAAAAUCAUAAAAAAUUCAUGAAAUAAUCCAUACAAAUCUAUAAUACAAAUCCAUAUAAAUAUGCAAAAGUCCUUUGAGAAUUUGUAGAGUCUAUUAAAAUCCUUUGAAAUCUUUCACUUUAAAAAAAAAUCUAUUAAAACUCUCUUAAAUCCAAAUUGACAACACCUGUAAAUUUGUAGUGACUGAAGGUCAGAUUAGAGCAUCUCCAAAAUAAAUGUCAAAAUCUUCAAAUCAACAUUAACAGUCAUAAAAAAAAGCAACAAAAUUUUCCAACCGAAAGGCCAAAUCUGAAUAUGGUAUGACGUGGAAUAGAAGUCCACACCCUUGCUGUCAAAUUUGACAGCAUCGUUAAAUAUUUUUAAUUCAUUAUUAAAUACUUUUUCCAGGUCAUGGAUCCACCUUCCUUCAAAGAACUAAAAAAGACAAAAAUAUCAUAUUCUUCAUCAUUUUUAAUUCCUUCCACCUGCAAUUCCAAAAGCUUCAAACUUCUUCAUUCCCGAUCUGCAAUUCCAACCGCAUCUCUGUCUCUAAUCAUUUGCAUAGUCCCCCCAAAACUUUUCUCAUUACCCUUGCUUUCUCCUUUUUCGUUGUCGUCGUCUUCUCUCUUUGCACCUUGGGUUGAUCACUUAGAGUAGCUCCAGCGUGUGCUGGAGCCCGAGGGACAGGCGAGGGAACAGGGCCAGAAAGCCCGAGCAUGCCCAAAGGAAAGGCUCGGCACGAGUUGCCAGCCCGAGAGCCCGAAGGCAACGUGACGUGGGCUGACAUCACGGCGACGUCAGCCACAAUAUAAAAUAUUAAUAAAAAAAGUAAAAUUUAAAAAAAAAAUUAAAAAACCCAAUAAGCUUCAAACUCAACGGCACUCGCUGGAGUUCGUCGCCGAGGCUGAUGAACAUCCACAGACAAAUGGCAGAGAUCCAGUCCCUCCUCCGUCGCAGCUACCACCGCACCCCACACUGCCUUCGCCUCCACGCACUUGUGAUCCCCUUCCUUCCACUUGCGCGCCCAGAUCGCACGAUUUGGGAUUUUUUUUUGGGGGGGAGAGAGAGAGAGGGAGAGAGAGGGAGAGAGAGAUUUUAACUAAGGAGUUGGUGAUCCUUUACCUACUUAACUAAGGAAAAACUGAAGUUUUGCAUGGAUCGGCUAUUGAUGUUGUUAGAGUCUGAGGCCCUGCCUCUGGAGCUAAAGUGAGAGAGAGCUGCUGAGCUUGAAAAAGAAAGAAAAAAAAAACACACAGCUUUUGGAAUGGUGCAUUGGUACCAUGUGAAAAGAAGAAGAAAAAAAAUAAUAAAAAAAAGGUUUUGGAAUGGUGCAUCGGCACCAUGUGAAAAAAAAACAAAGGUUUUGGAAUGGUGUGCUGCACCAUGUGAAUUGAAAAAAUUAAAAAAUAAAAAUAAAUGUUUUAAUAGAAAGUGGUACAACGAGACCGAUUUAAAAUUGUCAUAGCCCGUCCCGAAAUGUUUAGUUUCGACGGUGUGAAAUGACGGUUUUACCCUUGAACGUAUGUGGGAUGGUGUGGUUUAAGCUUUGGUUGUGGACAAAUUAUGUAUUUUCUUAAGUUUUGGGACCCAAUUGGAACUUAGAUUUUUUUUGGUUUUGAUUGGGACCAAAUCUAGACCACAAACACACACUCUCUCUCUAUCUCUCCCGUGUACACUCUCUCUCUUCCCUCGGUUUUUCUUCCUUCGUUCGUACAAUUUGUAUGGUCACUCUCUCUAAACUCCAACUAGGCACAGAUCGAGUUUGUAGACACCGUCAUCAUCUUCAUCUCAUCGUCAUGAACCCAUCUAUACCAAUUUUGGGCGUGAAAGCUUCGAAAAGCCCAAGAAACCUUAACCUCUGAUUUGAAUAUUGUUCAUGCAGCCGUAAAUGCAUGAUUUUCAGAGGAUUUCAAGCUUAUAGGAAGCUUAAGGACCUCUCCACGAAGCUCGGAGAAGAAAAAUGACAUGAUUUGGACGUCGGGAAGUCGAGAUCGAUGCAUUUGAAGUUUGGCUGGAUUAUCGAAGGUUCUCUGGCAAAUUUCCUUGGAUUUUAGGUCCCAAAACAGUUUUCCGGCGACGACGGCAACUGGCGAGGUUCAUCGGAGAAGAAAGAAGAAUAUUCCAUCAAAGUUGACGAAAUAUUCCUAACGGAGGGUAACGACGUCAAUUGUUUCGCAUAUAAGGGAGACUUAUCCCGAGGACGAGCGUAGUCAAGGGUGACUCGGGGGCUACGACCCUUCGACAUACCAGUUUUAGGUAGACUUGUUGUUGGUGGCAUUUGUGGAUCUUGGCGGUUCUGACAAAGUAUAAUAUUCGUAGGACUUCUUCUGGUACUGUAUAACUAGUACUUGUCUUACUAGACUGCACUUAGACUUCUAUACUCUGAUUAUGUGUAUUUACACUUGUAUCUCAUUCCUAGCACUUUCUGCUUAUUAGUGCACAUUAAUUAGCUUUCGGUUUUUUAUU